Molecule: ribosomal RNA, 261 nt
Filed under: uncultured bacterium
Lineage: Bacteria
Description: partial 16S ribosomal RNA
Rfam family: Bacterial small subunit ribosomal RNA
Source: RNAcentral
GUCCACGCCCUAAACGAUGUCAACUAGUUGUUAGGGAAGCAAUUCCUUGGUAACGAAGCUAACGCGUGAAGUUGACCGCCUGGGGAGUACGGCCGCAAGGUUAAACUCAAAGGAAUUGACGGGGACCCGCACAAGCGGUGGAUUAUGUGGAUUAAUUCGAUGCAACGCGAAACCUUACCUACCCUUGACAUGUACGGAACCUCGCAGAGAUGUGAGGGUGCCCGAAAGGGAGCCGUAACACAGGUGCUGCAUGGCUGUCGU